Molecule: non-coding RNA, 411 nt
Organism: Symphalangus syndactylus (siamang)
Lineage: Eukaryota; Metazoa; Chordata; Mammalia; Primates; Hylobatidae
Source: the annotation of a RefSeq genome assembly
AUGCACAGACCCAGAAGAUCCCUCCAUCCUGUAGCACCUGCCAUGAGCAUCGGGCUCCUGUGCUGUGCGGCCUUUUCUCUCCUGUGGGCAGGUCCAGUGAAUGCUGGUGUCACUCAGACCCCAAAAUUCCAGGUCCUGAAGACAGGACAGAGCAUGACACUGCAGUGUGCCCAGGAUAUGAACCAUAACUACAUGUACUGGUAUCGACAAGACCCAGGCAUGGGGCUGAGGCUGAUUCGUUACUCAGUUGGUGAGGGUAUCACUGACAAAGGAGAAGUCCCCGAUGGCUACAGUGUCUCCAGAUUAAACAAACAGGAUUUCCCGCUCAGGCUGGAGUCGGCUGCUCCCUCCCAGACAUCUGUGUACUUCUGUGCCAGCAGUAGGGAAAGUCAUGACUACACAGCCUUAUAG